RNAcentral lists this unclassified non-coding RNA (644 nucleotides) under Hevea brasiliensis (rubber tree). Lineage: Eukaryota; Viridiplantae; Streptophyta; Magnoliopsida; Malpighiales; Euphorbiaceae. The record is from RNAcentral.
CGCGGUGUAGGACUUGUUGCAAGAGCCGAGGAUUUGAGUGCCAAACCCAUGUUAAAAGCACAUGGGUUCCUGCUUCUAAACGCCGAGAGAGGCAACAACAACUCGAUGCCUUGCCGCACCAGCAGCAGCAACAGCAACUGCAACUUCGGGGAGAGAAUCCCAAAAGACUUAGAGAGAAUCCAAGCUCUUCCUCUCUCGCCUGCACUCGCUUACCCACCAACGCGUCAGGGUUGGAACUGGGAAAUUUCCCUGCAGAAGUUAGCUCUCCCGCUGUUUUUCGCUGCGUAAGAGUGAGUGGAAUUGACGAAAAUGAUGAUGAUCAGUACGCUUAUCAAACGGCUGUCAACAUUGGAGGCCAUUUGUUCAAAGGUAUUCUUUAUGAUCAUGGCCCUGAAAGCACCUACAUGCCUGCUGCUGAAACCUCCUCCGCUGGUGCUAGUGGCGGAUUUCAACCGCCUAACUUAAUCACAGCUGGUACUGCCACCGCAUCCGCUGCAAUCUCUCCCACCGGUGGCGUAACGUCUGCUUCAUCAAGUGCAGCGGUAGCAUUUAUGGAUCCUUCAUCUCUAUACCCAACUCCAUUGAACACUUUCGUUGCUGGUACGCCAUUCUUCCCAAAUCCAAGAUCAUGAAAUGAAAACCAC